This 328-nucleotide ribosomal RNA is filed under the name uncultured eukaryote. RNAcentral's name for it is "partial 18S ribosomal RNA". It matches the Rfam family "Eukaryotic small subunit ribosomal RNA", at positions 1470 to 1796 of the family's 1831-position model. The record is from RNAcentral.
CCCUUAGAUGUUCUGGGCUGCACGCGCGCUACACUGAUGCGCUCAACGAGUUUAUAACCUUGUCCGGCAGGAUUGGGUAAUCUUUUUAAAACGCAUCGUGAUGGGGAUAGAUUAUUGCAAUUAUUAAUCUUCAACGAGGAAUGCCUAGUAGGCGCAAGUCAUCAGCUUGCGUCGAUUACGUCCCUGCCCUUUGUACACACCGCCCGUCGCUCCUACCGAUUGGGUGUGCUGGUGAAAUGUUCGGAUCGGCCGUUUGUCGCGGUUUCCGCGUCAUGUGGCUGAGAAGUUCAUUAAACCCUCCCACCUAGAGGAAGGAGAAGUCGUAACA